This 207-nucleotide ribosomal RNA is filed under the name uncultured bacterium. Its description in RNAcentral is "partial 16S ribosomal RNA". It matches the Rfam family "Bacterial small subunit ribosomal RNA", at positions 568 to 774 of the family's 1533-position model. The record is from RNAcentral.
CACGUAGGUGGCGACGUAAGUCGGGUGUGAAAGCCCCGGGCUCAACCUGGGAAUUGCAUUCGAGACUGUGUCGCUGGAGUACGGAAGAGGAAGGCGGAAUUCCCGGUGUAGCGGUGAAAUGCGUAGAUAUCGGAAGGAACAUCAGUGGCGAAGGCGGCCUUCUGGUCCAGUACUGACACUCAAGUGCGAAAGCGUGGGGAGCAAACA